This 460-nucleotide ribosomal RNA is filed under the name uncultured bacterium. RNAcentral describes it as "partial 16S ribosomal RNA". It matches the Rfam family "Bacterial small subunit ribosomal RNA", at positions 338 to 795 of the family's 1533-position model. The record is from RNAcentral.
GCUACGGGAGGCAGCAGUGAGGAAUAUUGGUCAAUGGGCGAGAGCCUGAACCAGCCAAGUCGCGUGAAGGAUGAAGGCCCUACGGGUUGUAAACUUCUUUUGUCAGGGAGCAAUUGGGUCCAGGCGUGGGCUUAGCGAGAGUACCUGAAGAAAAAGCAUCGGCUAACUCCGUGCCAGCAGCCGCGGUAAUACGGAGGAUGCGAGCGUUAUCCGGAUUUAUUGGGUUUAAAGGGUGCGUAGGCGGAAUAUCCAGUCCGCGGUGACAAUUCGGGUCUCAACCCCGUCGUGCCGUUGAAACUGAUGUUCUUGAGGUGGCGCGAAGUAUGCGGAAUGCGUGGUGGAGCGGUGAAAUGCAUAGAUAUCACGCAGAACUCCGAUUGCGAAGGCAGCAUACCGGCGCCCAACUGACGCUGAAGCACGAAAGCGUGGGUAUCGAACAGGAGUAGAUACCCCUGUAGUC